This is a long non-coding RNA of Carassius gibelio (silver crucian carp), 1294 nucleotides long. RefSeq lists it as uncharacterized. The record is from RefSeq and is a predicted model, not a curated record. Lineage: Eukaryota; Metazoa; Chordata; Actinopteri; Cypriniformes; Cyprinidae. The transcript is spliced from 2 exons.
GACUGACUGGAGCAGCAGCAGCAGGAGCUGAUGAUGAUGAUGAUGAUGAUGAUGACAUGAUGACUGGAGGCGAGCGGAUUUACGGACGAGCCAGUGCCACCUAAUGACUCCAACAAUUUGGUGAGGUGGGCAUACACACUGGCAUUGGCACCGGCGAGCCGCUUCAGUCCAGGUACAGAGCCAUGCCACCAAAAGAAGCCAUGCUGACACCUGCAUCUUCAGCUUAAAGCUCCUCUCCUCUGGCUCGGCACCCUUCACUACACCAUCCCAAAUGCGGUUAAGACCGAUCCACCCUUCUCCCCACAGUCCUUUUGGUGCUAAAUUAUCAGGAGAUUGUUAUAAAGAAUGUUUUUUUCUUUAUAUUCCACCAAUGCUUUGUAUUUACUUUGCCUCCCUCUUUUAUUUAGCACUCCCUCCACUCUCUCCCUCCUCUUUCUUGCCUCACUUUUCUCUUUUUGGAAAGAAGUUGGUGGAAACUGAUUGAAAAACAAGUUUCAGGCUCCAUGCUGGGAGCGCAGGAGAGGAGGAGAGGAAUGGGGACUGUCUCCUCUAACAACAUCUGUGUAAUUCGUUCUGCACGUCCCGAAGACAGAAAACAAGGCCCGGGAGUGAACGUGGAGGGGACUGAAGGGGAUCUCCCAUACCGAAAGGGAUCAGUUCCAUGAAUCAAGUGUCUGCUAUUCGACUGAUCAAAUCCUUCAGAAUAACAAACACUUUUGCCCUUUAAAACAUCAAAUGGCUGAAAAUGCAUUGCCUGACUGCUACUGGUCUUUACCACAAAAGGAAGAGUAGACACCCUUCAUUUCUGCAUCAAGCUACUCUCUCAAAAGCAUGAGAGAGGGAGUGUUUUCAAACAAAACAGAACUUCUCCAAUGGCUUUAGCUGCUUGUCGGCCAUGAGAAGGAUGGCUUUUGUCUUGGGGUGGGAUUCACACUUUCACAACACAAUUUCUUGUUUUACACUGAGAGGAGAGGAGAGUGGACCGAAUCACUUAUGUAACUGGAACGUUCUCAUUUGUCGAAGUGAAGACAUUUCGCUCGAAGUGGAGAUCAUUUAAAUUUUCACCCUUAAACAUUUCAAUUAUCAGUCAACAGAAACCUGGUUGAAUUUGAUUACUGAGGAGGAAAAACACAGGGCUUUUCUUUUCUUUUCUUCUUUUUUGGUUCUUAUACGUACAAAGUUUUUUCACCGUUCACAAAGCAAAAAGCAGAAAGGGAGAAAUUUGUACCUUUUGCUUGCACAGUAUGUGUCCCACUCAUCACAGAGGCUGAAUUAAAUGGGACCGAGAAAGCAA